UACAGACUAAAGGCAAUUUAAGUCAUCAGGAAUUAGAAAAAAUAAUUGAAAAUAUUGAAGACGCGCGUUUUAAAGGAACGUCAACCCCUUUAAAAAAUCUGUAUAUGCAAAAGUUGAUACCGAGAAGUCUACAUUACGUCACAUACGACGGGUCAAUCACACAUCCCGGAUGUCAUGAAACUGUCACGUGGAUGAUAAUGAACAAACCGAUAUACGCAGGAUCACAACAGAUUGAAGCUUUCCGGAAGCUGCGUCAAAGCGGUCCUGAAAACCCGAUGGCAUUCUUCCGAGACAACUUCCGGCCAACUAUGCCUGUUAACAGGCGAUCCAUUAGAACAAAUAUAAACUUUGCCAAAGGGUGUUCUAUGGAAAGAAAUAUGCAUUACCAAGUGAAUGAUUUGUUCAAACAUUGAAAGGAGAUGGACUAUCCUUUCAGUCACCUUUCCCAAAUAUUGGAGUGUGACGGGGAACCUGGACACGGAUCUGUGGUCUGACGUCACCACCCUCAAGUAGGACCCGAGAUGACGUCAUGCAGGACGAAUGUAACAGGAAAACCUUGAGGAAACAGGUUGAUAACUAUGACGACAGCUAUAGACGUCUCCAGGUCGCCAUUUUGAAUUAUUGUGAUCGAAAAUGGAUUAGUUCUCGAACCGAACUUGUACAUCACUGUGUGAUUCGAAAGCUUGGAUCCACUUUCUGGAGCUUGGAACUCGUGAAUUCAAUCGUCCAUGUUGAUUUUUUUUUUAAAUAGACCUCGAUGACUAGAGCCUUAAAACAGGACUCGAGGGAAGUGAGCCGAAAUAAUCUGUCCUUGUUUCUAUGAUGUUUCCUGGAGAACAACUCGACACAUAUUAACUUUCGGUAAGGACGAUCUUAAGCAUGACAACAUGAUACAUUUAAAGAAAUGACUACUUCCUAAAUAUAUUACGGUGCUUGUUGUGCAUAUUUACAAUAUCCAGUGGUAAAUAUCAUUCGAUUAAUAUGUCCGAUAAGGAAAAUCUACAAAGUUAGCACACCCACAAGGUCAAAACAGACCUAAAACAGUUUGGCUAACACAAAUAUAGCCGUAUUGGGUUACGGUGUGAACAAUUUUGUGUAUCAUUUUUUUCAAAAUGCAUAUAUGGUUAUGAAUUUGUCAUUAAACUAAGGCAAUGGUCGAGUUUUGAGUGAAAAAGCUUCAUUAAACAGUUAAGUCUUGUUUUCAUGCAAGAACUAAAGACGGUAUAGACUACAAUUGAGACAUAUAACAUAUGAUCGACAUUUAUAACCGACAUCAGAGCCAUAUAUAUAUAUAUACAUAUGUGUGUGUGUGUAUGUGUUGUAUUGUAGGUCUUUGGUGUGACUUACAAAGGUGCUUCAAUGGUGUCGCACAGCGUGAAUUUAGAAUGUUUGGUUUGGGCACUAUAUGUAAAGUCUUCCUAACAAUCAUAGAGUAAAAGAUUGUAAUAGCUCGUUUUCCAUCUAAAAAAAUGUUUGUGACAGUUUGUUCAUACAUGUGGUUAUACGGAGAAUGCCUAUUUUGACGAUUUUACAUGACAAGAAAAAUGCUUAAAUCAAAAUGUUUUUCUUCUUCCAGUGAUAAAAAAACAACAUUUUUUUCAUAUGCAUAUAGAUUAUCCUCAAACUCACAGCAUAAAUCACCAUCGCAUUAUUUCUAAUCUUUGAAGAAUACAAAGAAAAAGCAUAUUUUCUAUAUUUAUCAAAAACAUAUUAUCUUCACAACAAAUUAGCUUUAACUUCCAGAAUCGAAACAAAAUAGACGAGGUGACUUAACAUGCGUCAGGCGUUACAUAUUUUACCUCUGAAUGUCUAAAGUAAUAAGAGUCAUAUCAAGGUUGAGUUAAGCCUACAAAUGCAUAGUCUUCGAAAUGUGUCUUUUCGAGUGACAGGUCUCUUCCCAGAGAUUUCGAAAUAUCUAAUGACGGUCUGGAUGUGCUGGUUGUAGCGGAGAUCAACCCGACAGUGUGUCUCCUGCUUAUAAAACGGUAAUUGGGCAUUAGACGCGUCUCACAAGAUCGAUGUAACAUUUUCAAAUCAAAGCUAAAGGCAUUUUUCUUUGAAGACCAAAUGAAUAAAGAGCUUUCUUAUGAACUACGAAGAACUGCUGAAAUCACAUAUUUUCAUUUCAUUUUUAAACAAGGAUAUGCCAUUAUAUUUUGUUAUCUGACCUCAUUUAAUGACCUGAUUACAAUAACCAACAUACCUAGCUUACCAGUUAAUGACCAAUUAAGCGGUUAACACCUCUCCUAUAUAUGUAAUCACAUACCAGUAAAUGGUCAGUUGAUAUUUCACAUACUGUUUAAUAACUGGAUUACCAGUUACUAACUAGCAUACCAUUAAAUGACCAAUUAUUGGUAAGUAACUCCUUUGAACGCAAUUAUGUUUAUACUACUGGCCCUUAAAACCAGUAAAUAACCCACACACUUGUAAAUUGACUCAUAAACUCAAAAAUUACCCGCAUACCAGUCAGACAACCCCAAACUACAUUGCUCUUUUUUAAUAUCAAAUUAUGAAAAUAUAUUUUUUUACUUAAAAAAAAAGAAAGAAAAAAAGAAACAAAGCCCUGUUUCAUCAGUGUUUUGCACGGCAUUCCCUAAUAAAGAAACACAUAUGGAAUAAAUAUCAGUGUUGCAAAGACAUCUGUAGAUAUAAUGCAUAUUUUAGGUAGUUUAUAAACUCGCAUUGUUUAUCAAUAUUGAAAAAUGGACAAUUGAAAACAACAGAUAUUUCAUGAGCAUUACAGAAUAUCAAUAUUUUCUGUCAUACCAGUGAAAUAAAUGUUGUAUUCAACGGAUGACCAUUCAAUUUAUAUUUGCUUCAUUUUUAAAUAGAAAGAGAGAGACAGAGACAGAGAGAGACAGAGAGACAGACACAGAGAGAGACAAAGGAAGAGACAGAGAGAGAGACAGACAGACAGUUAGAGAGAGAGAGACAUGUGGCAAAAGAGGUGUGGGAGAUAACAGCAUCAUAUUUGACGUUUUACCUGGUACGUUUUGCUUGUAAUAAUGUUGCCAAACGAUUAUUUAAUUUGAGGACUACUGCCUUCGCUUCAUUUGGAUCUGAACUGAAAUUCGGUGGAUAUUUUCAUUGCGGUGAAUAUAAAGAACCGUUUGGAUUGGUGAACCAAGUUAUUUAUGAGUGUAGACUGGAUUACCUGCCUUAAUACUUUUUCUCACCGCUUGACUGCGCUUAUGAGAAACGAUGCCAAGCGGACAUAAGAAAAAAGCUACGGCAAGUAAUGAAUUUAGUCUUACCCUAGUGAGGAUAUAAGCAGUGAGGAUAUACGAUUUUAUCAAAGGGAUAAUUUCUGAUAUUCCAAGGGUAAAAAUGAAAGAAAAAAUUAUUUUCACAAAUCAAAUGUCAUUAUAACAUUAAUAAAGACAUCACCUAAAUGUUUAACAGUGUAGAUAUCUGUAUAUAACAGUGGUAUAAGUUGUAUAUAGAUAUCUGUACAUAAUAGUAUUAUAAACAUUAUAUGGAUAUCUGAUUAUAACAGUGUUGUAAUCAGUAUAUAGAUAUCUGAUUAUAACAGUGUUCUAAACAGUAUAUAGAUAUCUGAUUAUAACAGUGUUGUAAUCAGUAUAUAUA
Molecule: long non-coding RNA, 3588 nt
Organism: Pecten maximus
Lineage: Eukaryota; Metazoa; Mollusca; Bivalvia; Pectinida; Pectinidae
Exons: 6
Source: RefSeq, a predicted model, not a curated record